This 618-nucleotide ribosomal RNA is filed under the name uncultured bacterium. RNAcentral describes it as "bacterial SSU rRNA". The stretch from base 1 to 521 matches the Rfam family "Bacterial small subunit ribosomal RNA", at positions 512 to 1533 of the family's 1533-position model. The record is from RNAcentral.
CAGCCGCGGUAAUACGUAGGGACCAAGCGUUGUUCGGAUUUACUGGGCGUAAAGGGCGCGUAGGCGGCAAUUCAAGUCAGCUGUGAAAUCCCCGGGCUUAACCUGGGAACUGCAUUGGUGACUGGCAGGCUUUGAGUGUGGCAGAGGGAGGUAGAAUUCCACGUGUAGCAGUGAAAUGCGUAGAGAUGUGGAGGAAUACCGGUGGCGAAGGCGGCAUCCUGGACCGGCAUUGACGCUGAGGCGCGAAAGCCAGGGGAGCAAACGGGAUUAGAUACCCUGGUAGUCCCAGCCCUAAACGAUGUCCACCGGGUGCCGGGGGUAUCGACCCCUCCGGUGCCGCAGCUAACGUGGUGAGUGGACCGCCUGGGGAGUACGGCCGCAAGGUUGAAACUUAAAGGAAUUGACGGCCGUCAAUUCCUUUAAGUUUUGGUCAAGCCGCCACACACAAAGCAGUUGCGCCAGCCAACGUCUAUCCGAUUCAAGAAGGGUUCGUCGAUCAGAACGGAGCGAUGACCUAUUACUGGGUUGUCGGACACGGAACUCCGCUCGUGAUCGUGCACGGUGGUCCAGGCGCUUCGCAUGACUACUUCCUUCCAUACCUGCUGCCUCCCGUAGGAG